RNAcentral lists this long non-coding RNA (23535 nucleotides) under Triticum aestivum (bread wheat). RNAcentral's name for it is "long non-coding RNA (TAES_LNC001896)". The record is from RNAcentral. Lineage: Eukaryota; Viridiplantae; Streptophyta; Magnoliopsida; Poales; Poaceae.
UCGUAUUUAGCUUGUAUUGUACGCAAGAGGCGUAUUUCAGAUCGAUAAAUCCCAAAUCCCUGCCCUAAUCCCCUUUCCCUCGCUCUUUCUUCCUCCCGCGCCCUUUGCUGCUCCAAAGAUCCACUUUUGAUUUCGAUUUCGCCGAUUCAUCCGCCGGUGCCGGAUAUGGCGUGCAUCGACGUCCAUGGCAUGAGCGUGACGCUCACGAUGCCCGACCAGCUGUCGCACGCCGGGAAGAAGAGAUCCGCCGACGAGGAUCUCGUCCUCGCGGACGAGUCCGAGGCCCGUGGAUGGUCCUCGGCGGUCUCGGACCGCAGGCUCGCCCUGCGCCGCCGGCGAGGUCCGGCUUCCUCUUCCUGCCGCCGCGGCUGCAUAGUGGUGACGGAGGCGCCGGACUGCCGUGCCGAGGAGGCGGUCGAAGGCGCCCAACUAGCUGCACCGGAGAGCAAGGCUUCCUCUGUUGAGGAGCUGGUCUGCUGGACAGUACUCUAGUACAACAAUCCAACCAUCCAAAAUCGCCAGGCCUGCUUGUGCAAAUGUCUGAAAAAGGUUCGAUGUUUCUGCUCCCGUUGUGUCCAUCUAUUGCAGAGUCCUUUCUUUCUAGACAAUAUGAAUAACCUCUUUUCUCUUCUUUUUUAUGUCAAUGUCGGAGCACCUUGGGGUUUCGAGGAGGCGACGCUACAAGAAGUUGUGGAGGCGUCAUAUGAAGUAAUCAAAUUACAAGUCAAGAGGCCUGAUGUGCUGGAAUGUCAGUUUAGCUAGCAUGGUCAUGUCAGUUAGUACUCCCUCUGUAAACUUUUAUAAGAUAGUUAAUGAUCUAAACUAUCUUAUAGAAGUUAGUUAAUGAUCUAAACUAUCUUAUAGAAGUUUACAAAGGGAGUACUUAGUACUAGCUGUUUCCUGUAAUAUCGUGGCUCACGGCAGUAUGUACGCCGGAGAGUGGGUGGAGGGCGGCACGAUAUGAAUAAAACUAUAAAUUUCCCUAUCUUGCGUUGUUUCCUUAGCUUUAUGUUUUCUGCUCUCAUCUUUGCGCCUUGGCAUGAUAUGAACAGUUCAUCGGCAGACCGAAAAACCUCUCCUUUCGCCUUGUUCGCUCUGUAAACAGCAGAUCCUUCGCUCGACUCUUGCUAAAUCACACAUGGAAGGCGAAGCCAGGAGCUGAACAUGAGGUGCUGAUGGCCAGGAGCUCUUCUACCUCGCUGUCAGCUACUUGAAUCUUCCAAGUCUUGUAGAAAGAGUUCCUCCUCUCCUCUGUUUAUCUUCCAGUUCAAGUGGAAUCAGCGCAGAACUAUUUCGAUGUGUUUAUGCCAAGUGACUGGCCAUGUUCUUGUAGGACAGAGUCCAAUUCAUAUAUUAAAGUCGAUAUGUUAGAAUGUAAUUGGCUUGUUUGAUAAAUAAAUUGAAUAUAAUCUAAGCUGAGUUGCGAAGUGUACUCACAUCGGUCUACUGUUUUGUGGUGUGAGUAUAAGCGUCUUGCAGCUCAAUGGUUUGACAGCAUAUGAUGUAUUUCUUCACAACAUAAAAGGUUGCCAUAGGUUCAGCCGUUCAGGUAAAUGGUGAUUUACCAAAUGGGUGAAAUUUUGCUUCCACAAAGUAGUGUAAGACUGAGUAUUCUGAUAAUAGUUGGUUCUUUUGGGGUUUGGUUGUGACUACUGCUGUACUACAAAUAUGAAUUCCAUAAAAAAUGAAAAGUACACACCUAUUAAGAUGUGAGAUAUUUUUCCAGCCAAAAAAAUGAUUUUGGUGUUUCCAAAACAUUUUUGAUUCUUAGAAAGCCUUUCUGGAACUACUCUUUUUGGUGUUUGUGCUGUAGCUAUUACUUUACUGCAAAUACAAAUUUUGUGUUUGUGCCAUUCUUUGUAAAUCACACAUGGAAGGCAAAGGCAGGGAAGACGAGGUGCUGAUUGAUGUUGAUGGCCAGGAGUUCUUCUACCUUGCUUUAAUAUACUCGAAUCUUCCAAGUCUUGUAGAAAGAGUUCCUCCUCUCCUCUGUUUGUCUUCCAGUUCGAGUCGAAUCAGCCCAAGACUAUUUCGAUGUGUUUAUGCCAAGUGAUGGGCCAUGUUCUUGUAGGACAGAGUCCAAUUCAUGUAUUAAAGUCGGUAAGUUACCAAAUGGGUGAAAUUUUGCUUCCACAAAGUAGUGCAAGACUGAAUAUUCUGAUAUGACUGGCUCUUUUGGUGUUUGGGUGUGACUACUGCUGUGCUACAAAUACGAAUCCUUAAAAGUGUGAAAUGUACAUAUCUAUAAGAUCUGAGAUUUUUUUUUUCAGCCAAAAAGAUGAAUUUGGUGUUUCCAAAACAAUUCUGAUUCUUAGAAAGCCUUUCCAGAACUGCUCUUUUUGGUGUUUGUGCUGUGACUAUUACUGUACUACUUACUUACUUACUUACGAAGCCUUUUAUCCCAAACAAGUUGGGGUAGGCUAGAUAUGAAACCCUUUCACGAGGACUUCCCGGGAGGUCACCCAUCCUAGUACUACUCUUGCCCAAAUGGGUUUCAUACCCAAAAGACUGGCUAGUUUUUACGUUGGCUCGCCAAGCCUAUCACAACCCUUAGAUAUGAAACCCUUUCACGAGGACUUCCUAGGAGGUCACCCAUCCUAGUACUAUUCUCGCUCAAAUGGGUUCCACACCUAUGGGACUGGCUAGUUUUUACGUUGGCUCGCCAAGCCUAUCACAACCCUCCUCCUUUACCCGGGCUUGGGACCGGCUAUGCCUAGAAGACAUAGGCGUGCUAUGCUCCUGUGAUAUUUAUUAGCUUUAAAUCAGCCUUAAGGUGAUCACUUUCAUUUGAUCAAUCUCUGCAAUACCAAAAGGCACACAAUGAAUGUUGAUUACAAAUUGUGUGCGACGGAAUCUGGACACAGAAUAAUCUAGCAAUAUGGUGCCAAGUUUUGUGAACUAAACAAAACACGGAUAUAUUUCCCUCCCUUUUUUGAAGCACCACCGUCUGAACAAAUUAAUGAUAUGGAGGUUUGGCAUGCUAUAGUUCAUCUCUUUUCUGGUUGGGAUGCAAGUUUAAGUGAUAUCUUGGGCUGCGGUUUUUCUUGAUGUUUUUUCGAUGUUCCUUUUCUAUACAUAGCGAAGUCAUAAUAAUUUUAAUGGCCUCCCGAUGCUAUUUUUAAUGUUCAAUGGAAUAUAAAUAUGGGUGUCCAUUUUUUUCCCUAUGCAGUUGAGUCUGAUGGCCCAUUAGAUUCUUGCCUUUGAUUUGUCAUGUCCCUUUACUGAAUAAAGAUUAUGUUUGGGUACCGACAACAUGUGUCCAGUGUUUACCAUAAAUCUUUCUUUCUAUUUACAUAGACUUCCCUGCUUACUUCAUGCGCACAUGUACGCCUCUCAGGUCAUGUUGAUAGGCAUCCUGCAUCUCAGAAUUCUGCAUGUGAAAACUUAGAAACCACAAUGCUCUACGUAAUUAGUUUCGCAAAAAAAAAACUCUACAUAAUUACAGUAGGUCAGAGAGAAAUGCCUUGAAAAUAGGCUGCUCAAGUUUGAGUUCUCUGAUUUGGAAAAUAACUUGUAGUGCAAGUUCAAUCGAUCAAAUUCACAGGGAAAAUUAAACUCUCAGAAGUCACUGCUGGAUCAAAUAAGAAGUCAUCAAGGAUCGGAACAUGUAAACAUAGUGUAGUCAUAAUGACUUUAAUGACUGAGGGAGUCCUGGAUUAGGGGGUGUUCGGAUAGCCGAACUAUACCUUCAGCCGGACUCCUGGACUAUGAAGAUACAAGAUUGAAGACUUUGUCCCGUGUCCGGAAGGGACUUUCCUUGGCGUGGAAGGCAAGCUUGGCGAUACGGAUAUUCAGAUCUCCUACCAUUGUAACCGACUCUAUGCAACCCUAACCCUAUCCGAUGUCUAUAUAAACCGGAGGGUUUUAGUCCGUAGGACAACAUACACAUCAACAAUCACACCAUAGGCUAGCUUCUAGGGUUUAGCCUCUCUGAUCUCGUGGUAGAUCUACUCUUGUACUACCCAUAUCAUCAAUAUUAAUCAAGCAGGACGUAGGGUUUACCUCCAUCGAAAGGGCUCGAACCUGGGUAAAACUUCGUGUCCCUUGCCUCAUGUUACCAUCUGGCCUAGACGCACAAUUCGGGACCCCCUACCCGAGAUCCGCCGGUUUUGACACCGACAUUGGUGCUUUCAUUGAGAGUUCCUCUGUGUCGUCGCCAUCAGGAAGGAUGCCUCGCCCCGUCUUUAAAGACGGCACCGUUGCUAAGGGAGCUUUGGCUGUCGGCCAAACCCUCCGGCUAGGUGGUUUUCUUAUGACCGCCUGUUCGGCUUCUGCACCGAUGAUGACCUCUCGAGCCAUCGAAAAUAAUCUUCAUGUCAGUUCGGAACUCGCCGAACAGUUAGAUCCAAUGGAGCUUUCCUCCAUAAACGAGCUCUUGGAUCACUUCGCCGUCCUGGGAGUCGCUACGGAUUACGACCAGAUUGGGCCUAAAACCGAUCUGAGAGAGAUUAACUUUCCCCAAGUCACCCACCACGUUGCCGUGGUAGAGGGACAGUGUCGCGACCCUUCGUCUAUCUUAAGGACUCGCUACGUCCGGAUUCCCGAUCCCUCCAAGCCGGAUACCCGCGGAGGGGAGGAUAUCACUCAAGACCUGAACUUAGAGUCAGGCGACGGGCUGGAUUCAUUGGACAACACCCAGGGAUCCAAAUUUUCGAGUUCAGAAAUUCCUCGGCCUCUGAGCCUCAGACGGGGUGAGGCUUCGGAUUUAACUCCACCCACCCAUCCCAACAUAAGCGAUCUAUCCAAAAUCAGGCAAGAGCCCGACGAAACAGUACAUCAUUACUGCGCUAGAUUCCUCCUGGUUAAGAACAGGCUAAGGGAUUGCCACGAGGAAGACGCAAUCUUAAUCUUCUGCAAGAAUUGCAUGGACAAGGGAAUACUCAACGCCAUAAGUCACCGUGAUAUCACACGCUUCGCUGACUUGGCGUCCAUUGUACAAAAGUAUUAAGCGAUGGAAAGCGCCUGGAAAACCAAAAUAAAAUUUUGGGACAAUCCGGCCCUAAAUACAAACCCAGUCCGAAAUAAAAGGGUGCAGCAUAACCAGACACCCAGGUCAAAUACCAAAAAGCAAAAACCCUCUAUAGGGCAUGGAACCGUACUGGAAGGAUGGCUUAACGGACCCUGUAAAAUUCACAGUACAGAGGACGCCACACCAACUCACAGCCUUAAAGCAUGUUGGAUACUCCGGCAGGUGGCCAAAAUUGGCGAAAACCUCCUAAUUCCGGAAGCCACAGAAAGCCACCCCAGAGACACCCAUACGGUAUUAACAGUCUUCGAGACUUUCGCAUCAAAUAAUAUGCGAAAAAGGACACUCCGCAGCCUUGCCGAAGUCUACCAAGUAGCAAUAAUAAACCCAUGGAAUGACACGGCUAUUACCUUUAACGCCAGUGAUGAACCUAAAUUCCAAACAGCCCGAGCAUCAGCCGCAUUGGUCCUCAGCCCAAUAGUGGACGACUUUCGUCUUACCAAGGUACUCAUGGACGGCGGCAGCGGAUUGAACCUCAUUUACGAGGAAACCCUUCAAAAAAUGGAAAUAGACUGGAACCGCAUUAAGCGAAGCAGCACAACCUUUAGAGGAAUAAUCCCCAGUCGGGAAGCGCGCUGCACAGGAAAAAUCACACUAGAUGUGGUGUUCGACACGCCGGAUAAUUACAGGUCCGAAGAGAUCACGUUCCAUGUGGCUCCGUUCAGCAGCGGUUAUCACGCUCUGCUAGGGCGGGAAGCGUUCACAAUCUUCCAAGUAAUACCCCAUUACGAGUACAUGAAGCUCAAAAUGUCCGGGCCUAACGGGAUCAUCACUCUCGCUAGUGAUCCGGACAUAGCACUCCGCGCCGAAAACAAGGCAGCCGCACUGGCCCUUGAGGCACUAUUCGAAGCCCUAGCGGCUGAGGAACUGACUGCGCUAUGCUCUACGGUGAAUAGGGACGAUGUGGUACUCGACAAAAGAUCCAAGUCCACCUCCUUUAAACCGGCGGACGAAAUAGUCAAAUUCCAAGUCCAUCCAACGGACCCAAAUAAAACAGCUUCCAUCGGGGCACAGUUAAACCCUGAUGUAGACGCCGCACCGCGAGAGUUCCUACGAGAAAACUGGGACAUUUUCGCCUGGCACCCUUCAGACAUGCCAGGAAUCCCACGCAGGCUGGCCGAGCACAGCUUAAAUAUCCAAACAGGAUUCAAACCUGUCAAACAGGCUCUUCGACAUUUUUCUGAACCUAAGAGACAUGCUAUGGGAGAGGAGCUAGCAAAGCUAUUGGAGGCCGGAUUCAUCAGAGAUAUAAAACAUCCGGACUGGCUAGCAAACCUGAUGAUGGUACCAAAGAAGGACAAAUCCUGGCGCCUGUGCGUUGAUUUUAAAGACCUUAACAAGGCUUGCCCAAAGGAUCCCUUCCCCCUCCCCCGCAUCGAUCAAAUUAUCGACGCUACCGCAGGACACGAUUCGUUGUGUUUCCUCGACGCAUAUUCAGGCUACCAUCAAAUCAAGAUGGCAGAAUCUGACCAAUCCGCAACGGCAUUUAUCACACCAUACGACCCAUUCUUCUUCAACACAAUGCCCUUCGGGCUCAAAAACGCCGACGCAACAUAUCAGCGCAUGAUUCAGACAUGUCUGGCAAGCCAGAUCGGCAAAACAGUGGAGGCAUAUGUAGAUGAUGUGGUCGUCAAAACAAGACAUGUCGAAUCUCUAGUAGACAACUUGAGGCUCACAUUUGAUAACCUCCGAACCUACGACAUCAAGCUCAACCCGGAAAAAUGCGUUUUCGGUGUUCCAGCCGGAAAGCUCUUGGGCUUCAUUGUAUCCGGUAGAGGAAUCGAAGCAAAUCCGGCCAAGAUCCGAGCUCUAUCGCAACUGGAUAUCCCAAAUGACCUCAAACAAAUACAAAAAUUAACCGGAUGCGUGGCGGCUCCAAGCCGCUUUAUCUCCCGCUUGGGAGAAAAGGCCCUACACCUUUACCGCCUCCUUCGGCGCACCGAACACUUCGAAUGGACGGAUGCAGCCACGGCCGGACUCGAGGAGAUAAAAACCAUACUUGCAACAAACCCAGUCCUGGCCGCGCCAAAUAUUGGCGAACCAAUGCUAUUAUACAUUGCAGCAACACAUCAGGUUGUAAGCGCAGUGCUCGUCGUCGAACGAGAAACAGACGGACACAGAUUCCCCCUUCAAAAGCCGGUCUAUUAUGUGUCCACUGUCCUCACUCCUUGCAAAUCACGGUACCCGCAUUAUCAAAGAUCACGUACGCGGUAUUCAUGGCAUCCCGGAAGCUACGACACUACUUUCAAGAGUGUUCAAUAACAGUAGCCUCGGAAGUACCACUCAACGAUAUUAUAAACAACCGUGACGCAACGGGCCGGAUUGCAAAAUGGGCCAUUGAGCUCCUCCCGUUCGACAUAACUUAUAAGCCACGGCGAGCCAUCAAGUCACAAGUCUUGGCCGACUUCGUCGCAGAAUGGACGGAGGCCGAACUCCCUAAAGAGUACGACACAUAUUCAAAUUGGAUCAUGCAUUUCGACGGCUCCAAGAUGUUGGCCGGACUGGGGGCUGGCGUUGUUUUGACGUCCCCCAUAGGAGACACAGUUCAAUAGGUACUCCAGAUUAUGUACACGGACUCCAACAACGCAGCCGAAUAUGAGGCCCUUUUACAUGGUCUCCGGAUGGCAGUAUCCAUGGGCAUUCAACGCCUAGAGGUGCGCGGGGACUCGAACCUCGCUAUAUCCCAAAUAAAUGGAGACUUCGAUGCCAAGGAUCCAAAAAUGGCAGCUUACCGCAACGCCGUCCUAAAAAUGUCAGCUCGGUUCGAGGGGCUUGAAUUUCACCAUAUAGCCCGGGAAAAUAAUCAGGCAGCGGAUGUCCUGGCACGCAUCGGCGCAAAACGCGAUGUAGUCCCCCCCAACAUCUUCCUGGAAAGGCUGUUCAAGCCAUCCGUAGUAUGGGAAGGGGAGCCGAACAAUAACAACCCGGACCCAACCGCACUGCCCGACACCGAACAUUCUGACACAAUCGGAGGCUCUGCCAAUGAAAUAACACCUUCAGCCCACGUAAUAAUGGCCGUCAUCGCCCCGUGGACAGAACCAUUCCUCGCCUACCUCACUAAGCAGGAACUCCCCGAGGACCAAAAUGAGGCACGUUGCAUAGUGCGGCGAUCCAAAGCCUACAGAGUCCACGAGGGAGAGCUUUAUAACAAAAGCACUAUUGGAGUCCUUCAAAGGUGCAUCUCCGAAGAGGAGGGGCGGAACCUCCUAGCUGAAAUUCAUGCCGGACUGGGCGGUCAUCACGCUGUAGCUCGGUCCCUCGUAAGCAAGGCCUUCCGUACAAGCUUUUAUUGGCUGACGGCACGGGCAGACGCUCAUGACUUAGUCCAACGAUGCACCGGUUGCCAGCUCUUUGCAAACCAAAGCCAUAUGCCACCCACCGCCCUCCGAACCAUCCCCAUUACUUGGCCCUUCGCGGUCUGGGGGCUUGACAUGGUUAGACCCCUUAAAGGCAGAACCCACAAGCAAAAAUACUUACUAGUCAUGGUGGAUAAAUUCACCAAAUGGAUAGAAGCCAAGCAUGUUAAGACGGCUGAAUCCGGACCGUGAUAGACUUUAUAUUCGGGGUCGUACACUGUUACGGCGUUCCCCACAGCAUCAUCACUGAUAACGGCACAAACUUCACGGCCGACGAGGUAAAACUCUGGUGCAAAAACAUGGGCAUCAAGCUCGACUAUGCUUCCGUCUAUCACCCACAAACUAACGGCCAGGUCGAAUGUGCAAAUGGUCUUAUCAUGAGCGGAAUUAAAAUCAGAUUAGUGCGGUCCCUCAAGGAAUCUAACACGCACUGGGUAGAGGAGCUCGACUCCGUACUCUGGGGGCUACGGACCACACCGAAUCGCACCACCGGAUACACACCAUUCUUUAUGGUGUACGGCGCAGAGGCAGUUUUGCCCUGUGACAUAAUUCAUGAUUCACCUCGAGUGCGCAUGUACGAAGAAAGAGAAGCCGAGCUCGAUCGGUAGGACAGCUUAGACGCAUUGGAGGAGGAGCGUGAUGUGGCAAAAGCCCGUUCCGCAUUCUAUCAACAGCAGGCUCGAAGAUACCAAGCAGAGAAGUACGGGCCAAAAAUUACAACGUUGGCGAAUUAGUUCUACAACUACCGGACAAGAAAAAGGACAAACUCAAGCCCAAGUGGGAAGGUCCCUUCAUAAUCGACCAAGUCCUGACUGGUGGAGCGUACCGCCUGCGAGAUGCAUCGGAUAACCGGCUUGAGCCGAACCCAUGGAACGCAGCCCGUCUCCGAAGAUUCUAUGCCUAGCGCCGCACUCUAUGUUCGUCUCCUUCCUCUGUCCAUUUUUUUAUAUAUAUUUUCUGUCUUGCAUUUCUCUUCUUCUUUUAUCUCUCUCUCUUAUAGCCCUUAAAGGCUCAUACAGUGACGCGUCACCCGCGCUCAUUAAACCUGGGGGCUUCUUUAAACAGAAGCUUAUUCAUACGGGCUUCAUGCCCAACACAUGCAUCACACUUCCGCAUGUACCUUUUAUUCACCAUUAUAUGUAUCGAUAUGACUUAAGUUUUGGCCAAGCUAGGUUGCCUGGCUCCUGUGCUUACCCCUACGUUCCCGAUUGUUCGGCUAGGUGGUAAAGGGAGCACCUCUGCAAUUGUUACUGCCGGGUCAGCCGGACGUGUACCUCAGACUGGGUGAAGCCGAAAGCUAGCGUUCUUAAGGGAAUAUUCGGUCGGUGAACUAAAGAUGAUCUUUUUUAUUUUUUACACCCCCAGAUGUUUUUUCUGCGUUUCUUUUCGCAGCAUGGACAUGCACCUUAGGGCAUGCCUCCCAGGGAAAGAAACCCCUAACGGAACUAUUCUCCCUGGAAGAUGUUUCUUACUAACCAUGUAAUAUAACAUAACUAGUCGGGCACUUGUCUGUUCACGCACUAAUGACCCCUAUGCCUGGUCUCCAUGCAUUCCCCGGUUCCUAUAUAACCACAUGGGAAUUCGGACACACUCCGGACCGUCAGGUCCCGAGGCUGAAGCGAAAAGGUCGGCCAUGACAAAUGAUCUACAAUCCGGCUAGAAGGCAUUAUAAAUGUCAACUAAAUUACAUAGUCAUUUUGACUGAUCGUAUUCCUCUUCAAUACCAUCUAACAGGCUGUCUAAUUUACAGUCCUGCUGGGAAUACUUUGCGGCCAACUCUACUUGGCCGUAUACUAAGCUUACAGGGAUCUCCUUCCCAUCGGGCCCUAUAGGACCGACCUCGGCCAUGUGGUUGGGGUCAGCCUUUGCGUACCGUGUCUUCACCAUGGCCCAGGCCUCCCUAGCGCCUUGACGGCAGACUGAUAUCUUCCAUAAUCGGAAGCGUCGCCGUGCUCCUUUUAGCUUCUCCGCAAGCUCUCCAAGACCUUCGGGCAUGGAGACGGAUGGCCACAGGGCCUGGGCGACGCCUCGCAUCGCCUGCCGAACUCGAUCGAGCAGUUGUGAGAGCUCGGGAAGAAGGUCACCCGUAGAACCGGGCAUCUCCUCUCCAGGACGGCCUGUCAGCACACCUACAGACAUUGCUCUGUUAGUCGACUUCCCCGCCGAACUUUCUUUUAAAAGGUUUGUUCAAGCACUUACUAAAUAUGCCGCACCGAAGCCGCUGAUUCUCCUUCACGGAGUCUGACAGCUGGGCACGAACAUCUUUCAGCUCGACGCCCAGCUUGGUGUUGGCAUCUCGGAGAUCGUUCUUCUCCCCCAUCACCUUCAACAGCACCCUCUCACCAGCCUUUAGCUGGCGUAGGAGAUGUUGCCUUUCCGGAUCCAAUCCGGCGCCAUCUGCAAUUUCACUUGUCAGAUUCGCACCAAAUCCAUGCUUCGCAAAAUACUUAUCUUUCGAAGUGUAUACUACCAGCGGGGGCCUCCUUAGGCUCCCCUGCCGCGGCUAGUGCGGCCUCAAGUUGGGCUUUGCACUCUUCCAGCUCCUUGGACAGUAGGGAAUUCUUUUCUGUAAGAACCUGCAUAACAAAUGAUCCUUAAAUCAGUUAUUUUAACUGUUUCAAGUCUCGGGGGCUACUGGUAUAUAUAUAAUUACCAAAAUUUUCUUACCCGUAUGUCUUUUACAUAUUGCUCCGUGGCUCUGGUUAGACCAUUUUGAGCGGCACGGAGGUACGCAUCUCCCGACUUAAAGGCAUCUAACGCCUUUUGGGAGAAACAAGCAUCGCGAAGAAUUGUCCGGCGACGCCUGUGGUUCAUGGCACUCUCCACCUCAGAGUUGGUGGCAGACAACCUGUCCACAUCCUCCGUCGGAGGAGCGUCCGGUGCGCGCCUUGUGUUCGGCCCCGCUUCCGGGCCAGGCUUUGGAGCCUGGCUGGUGGAGGCGCGAUUGGCGGUCUCUCCAAAUAUAGUUCGACGAGGUCUCUUUGUCCUGAAUAGGGCACAAGUGUUAAUAUGCCCUGAAGGUACGACACCUGGGAUAAGGGGGUGCGCCAUACCUUUGCACUGACGCCCCGGUCCAGACUGCACCUCUUUUCUGCCCACGGGGCCCUACGGCCCCUCGUUGGCUUGUCGAUGUAGGUUCGGCCUCUCGUUUCUGGGAGGCCGGGAUUAGCCUUGGAUAAUCGGCCGUAAUGGCCACCAGGGCGUUGUCCUUGCUCAAUUGAUGGAAUACUCCAUCAAUCAGAUCCACCGAAAGCUCCGGAUCCUCUUGCGAGUCCGGGUCGAGGGACCGUCCUGGAUCCUCGGGUUGUGGAGGAGGGCUGUUUAUUUCUUUAACAGCCUGGCGCAGUUCCUGCAUCGAAAUUGCUAAGAUUAAAUAUUUAACAAUGGGGAUAUAAAACGGAUGGGCAAGAUGUGAUCACUCACCCAGCUUGGAGGAUUGUACAUGGAAAAUCCACCCUUUGGGUUAACAUGGAGAAAAUCCUCCUCUUCUCCCUUGUACAAAGCGGACAAGGUCUUUAUUAGAGCCGCAGCCGAAUCCGGCCCCUUACGGCCGUAGCGGGUGGUGUCAUCCUCCCCGUUGAAAUCCCACAUGGGGUGGCUUCUAUACUGUAGCGGCUGCACCCCUCGCAUGAUGCAUGCGGCCAUGAUCCCGAUCAUGGUUAGUCCGGAAUGAGCUAACAAUCUUAUCCGGCCCAUCAGGUAAACAACGUCCCUGUCACUUUCCCUCUAAGGGCUCUGUGGGCGCCAGCUUAGGCGCUUCUUUAAGGAAGCAUUGUUGAAUUCAGGGAGGCCGAUCCGGACAGGAUCCGGCAGCGGGACGUCUUCUAUGUAAAACCAUUCCGAGGGCCAGUCUUCGGACGCCUUCUUUGGGGUUCCGGACAGAUAGCCGGUCCCGGCGACGCGCCAUACUUCGGCUCCGCCCACUUGAUACAUAGACCCUUUCUUGGAACGGGGCACGAGGCAAAAUAGCUCCCUCCACAGUCCGAAAUGGGCUUCAACACCCAAGAACAGCUCGCAGAGAGCUACAAAGCCCGCGAUAUGCAAUAUUGAGGCAGGCGUGAGAUGAUGUAGCUGGAGGCCGUAGAACUCCAGCAGCCCCCUUAUUAAAUAAGGGAUGAGGCACACCCGCUCUCCUUUGGAUGGAUUAGGGGCGCUCUCCGCUUGCCCUCCGCCGUUAUAGACGGCAAGACCAGCUCGAACCGGGAUCAUAUAGGCCGGGGGAGAAAUCCCUUGGUCUAGAGCGUCACUAACUCGCUAUGCGGGACGGAGCAUCUUUCCCAAUGUCCAGGCUUAGGGCUGGAAGGGCGGGAGGAGGAGUCGCGACGGCUGGCCAUGGUGGAAUGGAUCUUUGUCGAAUGCGCUCUGAUGAACACUCGCGAAAGGGGGAAGGUGUGGUUUGGAUCUAAAUCCUCGUCUCUUCAAAUAGGUCAACUUGUUUACGCGGCUAGGGGUGUGAAUGUAAAAACACUCAAACCUUUCAUAUUCGUUUGACACGUGGGGAGCGGCCAUUAUUGGGCGCAGAAGCCCAGGAGCGCAACAUCUACAAGAAACUGGACUUUAUUCAACAGGUGCAUGGAAUUUGGAGGAGAACCCGCCUUGCAAUGCCGAAGACAAUCUGCGCGCCGGACUCAUCGUCAUUGAAGCCUGGUUCGGGGGCUACUGAGGGAGUCCUGGAUUAGGGGGUGUUCGGAUAGCCGAACUAUACCUUCAGCCGGACUCCUGGACUAUGAAGAUACAAGAUUGAAGACUUCGUCCUGUGUCCGGAAGGGACUUUCCUUGGCGUGGAAGGCAAGCUUGGCGAUACGGAUAUUCAGAUCUCCUACCAUUGUAACCGACUCUAUGUAACCCUAACCCUAUCCGAUGUCUAUAUAAACCGGUGGGUUUUAGUCCAUAGGACAACAUACACAUAAACAAUCAUUCCAUAGGCUAGCUUCUAGGGUUUAGCCUCUCUGAUCUCGUGGUAGAUCUACUCUUGUACUACCCAUAUCAUCCAUAUUAAUCAAGCAGGACGUAGGGUUUUACCUCCAUCGAGAGGGCCCGAACCUGGGUAAAACUUUGUGUCCCUUACCUCAUGUUACCAUCCGGCCUAGACGCACAGUUCGGGACCCCCUACCCGAGAUCCGCCGGUUUUGACACCGACAAUGACCUUAUGAUUGCUUGCUAAAUUCUCGCCUUUGAAAUUUUUUUGCCCUGAAAAUGGUUCAGGACAGCUAUUUCCUGCUGUAGGUUCCUACAUCAAAAACAUUGUCCUAAAAAGAACUGUUCUCAUUUCCUUUGCGCUACCAUGUCCUUCCCGUGACAAGAUAUGCACCAAUUUUACCAUUUGUCUGCAUAAGUUCAAUCUUCUCCCCUUGAUCACUCCGCUCCUGAUUUCUUACCAUUGGGCAAUGGACCGUAGGCGUUUUGAUGAAUUGUUAUCUUGCCAGGGCUUCAAUAAAAGCAGAAGGGGUUUUCCUAGGAAUAUAUAGAAAAAUUUUGGUCAAUCAGCUGCUAAUACUGUAAAACUAGAAAUAGUUCAAGUUCCUUUUAAUUGUGAAACCAUAUCUUCUUAUUGGUUGUAGCCAUAAAUGAAAUCUGAUAUCAAUUUGGUGAACUGCGUAGGAGGAAGUAUUUGCUACUCACAUGUUGGGAGUAUUUUUCACAGCAGGCCAGUACAUGCUUUCUCAAGGAAAAAGAUCACAUCAUACAGUUAUGUUUGGGCUGAAUACCAUUCUGCACUAUCACCAACUCUGCACUACAUUUCAGAAAUUGUAUUGAUUUCCUUUUGAGUUUAAGAUUUGGCUUAACCUGACCAACUAGAUGAACACGUUCUUUUUAAUUGCUAUUAGAAUUGAGAGAUCCAGCAAAAAAAAUAUGUCAAAUUGUUUAUUGUCUAGCUAUUGAUUUCUAUUGACAUUCAUGUCAAAUCUCUAUUGAUGUUCAUAUCAAACCUUGACAGAAUAUUCCUUGCUGUGAUUUGAGCAUAAUAGUGAAGGCCAAGUCAAAUGUCGAGCUAGUGGAACACCAACCGCUGUUUACGGUUUGUGUGUAUGGGUUUGGAGCAGCCGGGCCCAACCAUGGAUAUUUUUAUCCAACAUGGGUGGCGACAUAGUCUACGGAAAGGCCCCCAUCUUUUCACCCUAGCCUAGCUAAAUAAUCGAAUCAAAUAAGCUAUAAUCAUGGUGCUUGUUCUGUACUGGUUUUUUCUUUUUUCUUUUUUAGAAAAGGAGCUUGAGACCCCCGGCCUCUGCAUCAAUCGAUGCAUACGGUCAUCUUUAUUACUUAUUCAGCAAAGGACUGACAAGAGCAUACAUCAGGCCACCCGAAGCCACCACUCACACCUACAAACGCGAUAAUGUGGAGUGCUCUAACUCCCCAUAUCUAAAACCGGUCUUGUCGUGGAAUUGUCACGGCAGAUGUCCUCAUGGAAGGACUUAGUCAUGGAGCCAUCACUACGGAUUAGCUUGAAGGGGUUAAACCGGGCAAGGGGACACGAGAGUUUUAUACUAGUUCGGCCCCUUCGACGAAGGUAAAAGCCUACGUCUAGUUGUGAUCGGUAUUGCUGGGGUUUCGAAGACCAGGGAGCGAAUCCGCUUUGUCUGGCUUCGAUUUGUUGUUUUCUGUCCCUGAACCGCCGCCGGGUCACCCCUUUAUAUAUUCAGGAGGAUCCUGGCCGGUCUAAAGAGUCCCGAGGCUGGCUCAUACAAGUGUCCGCCUCGGUCUCUUCUUUCUUAUCUUACAAUGCAAGUUUAUACAAUCAUGGCGGUUUACUAUCAUGGGCCCUAAACCGCCUGCAGGCUCUGGGCCUCUAAGCUUCAUACAUAAAGCGCCAUCUUCUGGGUUUCCUUGGGCUUCAGUAUGACUGAAGGUGAACCGGCCCCUCCUGGGCGGUUUACCCUCAGUGGUUAUAUCCUCAACAUUAGGCCCCAGAUUGAUUUGAACCUGUUCAUGUCAGUCUUCAAUCCUUGAACUUUUGGCAAUUCUCGUAAACCGCCAUAUUGUCUUCUCCCUAUGAGCUUUGAUGAAUCGCCAUGACGUCAUCUUCUAUUACUGUAGUAAAUCAUUGUGAUGUCAUUCCUGUAUAAAAAGUUUUAUAAAGAUUCCCUUCUCUUUAAUUAAUUCCCGAAGAUCGAGGCGACAGCUGCAUCCUCUUUUGCCGCUUUCGAUUCCUUGAUUUUUGCGCCUGCCGUUUUAUCUCACUUCCUUAUAAAUAAGACCGAGGUGCCUUCCAUUUUCCUCCUUUCCAAACCACAUCGUCUUCCUCCUCGCGACCUGAAGACCUCAAGUAUCGCCGCCGCCGCCGUUGUUGAUCUUCCAGUCCGCACCGACUCAGGCCGCUACAUCGACCUGUUUCUGACUAGAAAACAACAGCGAACCUCCGCAGCUCAUCCACAUCCGUGAGUUCUUCUCCUUCCCCUUCUCAGAUCUGCAUUGGAACUUUGUUUGAGUUCGUCGGCGGUCAUCACCGCCCGAUGCAAAACCCUUGUUAGUUUUCACCUCCAAUGCCCUGUUUAGAUUGUAAAAACAACGCAGAACUGCUGCGGCAACUGUUUGUGCUUAUCUUGCAUAAAAAUAGAUCUUAUUUCCAUUGUUUGGAAGCCCUCUUCGAAUGUAUGAACUUCUCUGCACUGUUUUAGGUCUAGAAAUUUUUCCUUCCAGAGCGAUCGUUUGAUCCAAAAUAAUAAUUGCAACUUGUGAAACCUGUUUGUUCCACACUUAACAAAUUUCCAGCUUGGGGUUCUGCCUCAAAAAGGCGGUUUAUCCUUUAGUGUUGAUAAUCCGUUGUAUGUCAUUAGCCCUCUCUUAAACCGCCAUCUAGACUUUGAACAGCCAUGCCCGGUUCACUUCAUACGUAUAUCUUGAAUUGCCGGUUUAACAUUUGACAAACACAUACGAACCGCCAAUCAUAAACCGUCCAUUUUCCUUUUACAGACUUUGUAAGAUGAGAAGCAAUUUGCUGCUUGCAACUGGGUUCCGUCUCGGAUCACAGAAACGCAAAUCAAUGAAUAUAUCACCACUAGCACUUUGGCUUCAAAAAAUGUCCUCCGUUGGCGAGUUCCUGGACCUGAGUGCCCCCCUGAACCUCAAGAUGGAGAAGUGAUUGUAUUCUUGCAACAUUUAGCUCGAGGUUUCAGUCCUCCCGGAUCAAAAAAUUUCCGGGAUGUUCUUGCCAGGCUUCAAUUUCAUCCUCAAGAUAUUGGACCAAAUUCUGUGUCCAACAUAUGCAAUUUCCAAGUAUUCUGCGAGGUUUAUCUGCAAGAAGAACCAACUGUCGAUCUCUUUCUAGAUCUCUUUCACUUAAACCGCCGGACGGAAUUUUCUGAUGGACCUAAUACUGAACUUGGCGGUGUGUCAAUCCAAAAAAGGAAAGAGGUUGAUUUUCCUCACGCCAAACUUCACAGCCAUCCAAAAGACUGGAACCAAACCUGGUUCUAUUGUCAGAAUACCGCCCCUACUGAAGAGAAUCCCUUGCUGGGCUACCGUCCGCACCGGCUCAGUAAUAAUCACCCUUUACCUUAGAGAUUGCCUGCCAAAGAUCAACAAGCCUAUGCACCUCAACUUGCCAAACUUCGGGCUCUUCUUGCCAACGGUUUAACUGGUGUUGAUCUCGUCUGUUGCUGGAUUUCAUGGUGCAUUCUUCCUUUAAGCCGCCGGCCCGGAUUGAUGUUCGAAUACACCGGCAAAACCAAUGAUCCUCAACGGUUUAAUUCAAUAGCACUGACGGACGAUGAAGUCAGUGAAAGUGUAAAGAAAAUACUCGACGAACCGCUCGCCGUAUGUACUCAAAUUGGUCUGCGUCCUUUUUACGCCUCCAACAAACCGCCUGGGGUAAAUAUUUUAACCUUGUACUUUUCCUUAUCCUUCUCCGCUUUGACACUGCUAUAAUAAUACCUUUGUGCAAUCCCAUAGGCCAGUAGCUCUUUUUGGAAAAAGAAAACUCAAGACAAAGUAGCUAAGGCUCCUCGUAGUAAGACCAAGGUCAUCAAGAAAGCUGCCAAAAAGAAAACUGCUGAGUCUUCAGAACCACCAGAAGAUGUUGAUGACUCGGCUGAAGAGGUAAAGUUUGAUCUCCCUUGACUUCUAUCCAUAUAUUUUACUGACAAUGAUUAUUCCCAGGAUGAUGCGGAGGCCAGCCAUGCAGAUCAUGAUGAGGUAAUUUGUCUUUCUUCUGACUCGGAACUUGUGCCGGUUCAACGAUUUCGCCGUGCAGUUCGAAAAGUGAAAUGCUCUCACCCUGUUGCUCAUUUGGAUCAAAAACUUUCUUUGAAGACACAGCAAACCGAAGGGCGUCGCACAACCCGGCACAGUGGUCAACAGGUCACUUCUUCCGGUUUACCUCAUACCCCAAACCGGAAACGUCGUCCAGAGGUUGAUUGUUCUUCUAAAAACGUUAUCUUUUGAAAGGUUUCUUCUGAUGCCCUCUAAAUUCAUCCGAUUCAAAUUAUCAGGCAUCUUCUAAUUCGUCUGGCGGUUCAUCGACCACUCAGCUGCCUCCCCUGAAAACCGUCCCUGGGUAAAUGUGUAGUCUUCCCUUCUCUUUCAUAACUCAGUUGACCAUGCUAAUCUUUGUUUUAAUAUUAGUGCCCAAGCUCGUUUGAGUAAGAAGGCCAAGACCAGCGCCCCUACCGGUGAAGUUGAGCCGGAGAAAACUCCUGAGGAUGUUGAUAAAAAUCUCGAUAAUCUCAUGGAUGAUUUUACUUUGCCAGAGCCAACUAUCAAUGUUAAUCCGUCGGAAGCUGAUCCGGCCAUGCAUGAGGAUACCUUAAGUCCACAUGCUAUGCCUGCAAGUACGGCUGCUGAUCCACUGAAGUCAAGUGCUAAUCCGCCGAUCCAUUCACAUAAGGUAUUGAAACCAACAGCUGGUGCAGCAGACCUAAAGUGUACACUACACACACACGUUUUAGAAGCCGCCAUCGUCAUCGAACCACUGACCCAUCUUUAGGACAGAGAUGCGCAUCAUCCUUGCCAGUCCGGCCAUCCGUCGAUGCCACUGCGGCGCCCAACAGCGCCACCUCCCUGCGCUCGUCCAUCUAGACGUGAAGACUCUUGGAAGAUCUGUCGUGCGUAGCACCUGCCGAACAGGCAUGACAAAGCGUAGCACCUGUCGGCCAGGCAUGACUUGACAUCACCAUCGAAGCUCCGUGCAAGACGAAGACGCUCCACCUCCUGCCUCUGUCUUCCAGCGCUGCUCCACAAACGAUGCUCCCAAGAGAGAAAUGACACCGUAGUGUCACCAUCGUCCGAUCUGGAAAACCAGAUCCUAGGGUUUCCCCCGGAGCAGCACGAGUGGGUCGACAAUAGUUACAGGACGAUGCUUUCAUCAAGGUAAUGAUGCAUAACGCCGCCAUCGUCCGCCGUUGGCUCGAUUUUCACGGCAACUAUGUCUCCCCAACUCGCAGUCGGGACUAGAUUACAGAUCUCGAGAUCCGAUCACCCAACCUCAGGCCGACCACCUCUGAGGUAGGAGAUGACCACCACCGCCAUAAUCCUCGUGAUGCGAUGCAGACCCGGGGUGCUUCAGCGAGCCGUCGCCGAAUCCAAUGAGAUGCAUCAAUUUGAGGACGUGACGGCAACCGCCUGCCUAGACCCGAAGGUCCUAGAUUGAGCCCGGGACGCGCCACGGCCGCCGCUGCCGUCAUCUCCUACCAAUCCCGCCGGCUGCAGCAGAGCCCCCCAUCGUGCCCUGGCCUCCGCUGCGCGCCAUCCUCGUCGCAAGGAGAUCCAGGUCAGGCCGCCGCCGCCUUAGAUCCCGGGAUGCCAGAGGAGGUCUGCCGCCGUCACGCCAUAGGGCCUUCGCCCAGCGAUGUUGCCGGCGGCGGCAGAGGGAGGAAGGUGCGCGGGGGGUCGAGGAGAGGUUGGGUGGUGGCCGCCCGGUGCGGCCCGGCGGCGGCCGCAUGGGGUCGGGGGGGGGGGUGAACUUUUAGUAUCUUGUUCUGUACUGGUAUAUAUGGUUGAUUGCAUGGCUUGUUCUACUACCUUGCUGCCAUAUACUUGAAUCUUCCAGGUCUUGUACAAAGAGUUCCUCCUCUCCUCUGUUUAUCUUCCAGAUCGAGUCGAAUCAGUCCAGAACUAUUUCAAUGUGUUUAUGCCAAGUGAUGGGCUCUGUUCUUGUAGGACAGUGACCAAAAUCCAUUCCCAACCAAUCAGGUAGAAACAGAAUCUGGUAUUUCAGCGCACCGUGAAUAUGUUUCUGAAUUGAAAGGGGAUUUCGUGCUGCUCAUGUAUUGAUCCAUUGCAUAAUAAGGAAGUACCAGCAGCAAGAGUUGACAGGACAGAGAAGGAACAUGACAGGGAAGUAAUAGACGUAGGAACAUGACAGAGAGGAAAUCAAGGAUAGAAGGUCAGGAUCAAGAGGAAUAAGGGGAAUAUAAGUAACUGCAGAUUUCAUGAUGAUGUGCAUGUAUAUCGUUACGGGGAGAGGGAUAACAUGCAAAAUUCAGAGAAGUCACGGUGAGAAUUAGUAAGAGGAAUAUUAAUCAAGCUUAGCUAAAUAAUCAAAUCAAAUAAGCUAUAAUCAUGUUGCUUCUUCUGUACUGGCAUGUAUGGUUGAUUGCAUGGCUCGUGAUUAAAUUAAAUUUAAAUGAAGGUUUGAUAUAAGUAUAGGGACCUUCAGAGUAAGAUCUCUCUUCACCGGAUUUUAGGUAACAACUUAGGCCAACUCUAGCCGAUCCCUAAAAGUUUAUAAGGGAGUAUAAUUUCUAAAAUCUAUAAGGGAGUAUAAUUUUUACUAUUCCACCGAAAUCCCCCCCCCCCCAAGCUGCCUAAAUAUAUUCGGCGCUUGCACGGUCGAGUAAAAGUUGCGCGCCUCUUUCUUCCGCCCUCACAACAGCGUCCUUCCCGUCGUUGCCGCCCCCACGCGUCGACGUCGCCACUGUUGACCGGUCCCAUCACUGGAAUGGAUAGCCAAGAGCCUUCCGCCACCCUGCCAGUCAGCACCACUGGCUUGUCGCUGCCGGAAAACACCCCCGCACCGCCGCUCGCGCCGAAAAAGAGGUUGGGGAUGAAAAAGCUCCACCGGCCACAAGCACGGGCUCCAACGCGACAAAGGCCGCCGAGGUGGCGUCUGCCUCUCCGACGACGACCGUCCGCCCUCCCACUGAUCCCGGCGGCGACAAGAGAGAAAGAAAACUGACGGUCGCGGCAUCGGCCCACGCCGAAGAGACCGCGAAGAAGAAGAAGGCCACUCCGGCGCCCCAUCCAUGUCCAGUGCCUCGUGUAGUGUCUCCGGCCACCUCUAUGGCCACUACUCUGGCGCGUCCGGGCGCUGCAGCCGGCAAGAAGGGUCGCGGUUGCCAAGUGCUCGAGGAAAUGCCAACAAGGUAAAAAAAAACAUAUUUUGCAUUUCGGCCAAUGAAUUUGACAGUGAUUGUUGGUGGCCGGUGACGAUGGAUUUUGUUGGUUUUGUUGUUAUAGUGUGGAGAUGAGCAUGACCGAAUUCUUGGUGUCUUUGGAGUCCUCGGCCAGAAUGGGGCUAGAUGAUCUCAAUUAUGAUUCAAUUUGGGAUCAUUCGGAGGUGUCCGAAGAGGAGAUGGAAGAAGAAGCAGAGGUGGCCGAUGGCGACGAACUUGAGGAGGUGACCGAAGCACACACAAGGUCGUCAAGGUCACAAACUCACAACUACAAUCAAGUUGAAGAUGAUUUUUUGCGGGAAGUUGAAGAUGCCGCUCUAUGUUAUGCUUGGAUGAACAUCUCCAUGGAUUGGAGAGAAUUGCGGAGUACUACAAAAACUCCGUGGAGGUGCAAUCAAGCCAUACGCAAGGGUCUCUUGGGCAUCGUUGGGGCACCAUUCACAACCAAUGCAACCGAUGGUCCGGUUGCAUCAAUAAAGUGAAUCACGCACCAACAAGCGGUGUGCAAGUCACGGAGUAUGGCUCAUGCAUCCAAAACUUUUCAAGCAUAGGAACAAGAAGUUCGGCCACAAGCCCUUCGCGUUGCAACAUUGCUACAAAGAGCUUUGCAAAAACAAGAAGUGGAUCAAGAGAGUUGCAGAGACCACUCCAAAGAGAUCAAGGUUGAGCAUAUCCGUUGAGGAGGACGACAAGGUGGAUGAAGAUGCCAACAAUAGACCGGAAGGAAACAAAAUUGCAAAAGAGAGAAAGAAGAGAAAUGCAUACGGUGGCACAUACAAACAAGAACCGGCGAUGAUUGUUUUAUGAUAUAUAUUGUGAAGUGUUUGACCUAUGCAUUCUUUUUACUUCACUAAAUUUAGGAAAUCAGCUAGGUGCGGCCAUCUAUGGCGGAGUAAACGUUUACUCCACUAAUAACUUUACUCGAUCGGAUCCUCCUCUAGUAACAUAUGUUCUUAUCAUAUCCUUUUAUCUCCUCUUCACAAGCUUUAUCUUAGAAUAAAACCCCUAUAGAAUGUCACAACAGUAGGCUAAAAUCAAGAUUAGCCUCGUGUGGUAUCUCUUGUACUCCAGGAUCAUGUAGUAUCAUGUUCUAUUCAACUUAUGAACCUCAUAACAGAAAGGCAUUACUCCUAUAGAGGACGGUGGAGUACCCACCUCCAUUGGCUCUCCACGUGCGAGCAGAGCCUCCUUGUUGUCCGUUGCUAGAUGGCUAGCCACGGGAGCCUCGGGGCGGUUUCGGGCCGUCUGACCUACCCGGACGACUCGACUUGGGCGAUCCGGAUGAAAAGUCCAUGACGGGUGGAUGCCCGAUUUGUUUUCCUACCUUUUUUGGUCGUGUUGCAUCUUGGCCCAGUCGCGGCCCAUCUUGCCAGCCUGUCUCUCUUGGUUGCGGAAUCGUAGAGCAGCAUAGGUAUGCGCAUGCCUAUAUAUCGCUUCAGCGAGUUGGAAGAGGCACUCGCCUAAACCGUACAACACAUAGCCCGGGUCCAAAAACGCCGGCAGCUCCCUCACUCAUGGCUCGCCCUCCUCCAAUGCAUAGCUAAAUCCAAGUCAACACAUGUAUACAUCAGGUGUGCAACUACAGGAUUUUUUUUUCUUUUGUUAAUAUUUUUUAAAACAUAAAAUUACUUAAAAUAAAUAAAACCCUGAAUUUGAAGAAAAAAUAACCCAUAUUCAAAAAUAUAUAGUUUGCAAAAAAUGUUAAUCAUGCAUUUAAAAAAUGUUAAACAUGUAUAUAAAACUGUUUUUGAUGUAUGAAAACCAAAGAAACCCAAUAAAGAAACACCUAAAAAUGAAGAAAACAAAAGGACAGAGAAAACUGUUAAAAUCCAUUAGUAAACAAAAAAACCAGAGAAAUUGGUGAAGAAAUGAAGGAAAAAAAGCACAAAAUCCGAUGAAGAAUAGAGAAAAAACAAGAAAACCAAAGAACACGAGGGGAAACCCAAGGAAAACCGGAAUAGUCCACGUACAGCCACCAUACAGUGACCGAACCAGCGAGCGCAUGUUUAAAUAUAUGGUGAACGGUUUUCAAUACAUAAUGUACGCUGAACAUUUUGAAAAUAUGCUUUGGUUAAAAAUAUGCUUAACAAUUUUUUGUGUACACUGAGCAUUUUCGAAAUACAUAUUGAACUUUUUUGUAGAAUAUGCUGAAGAAUUUUUUAGCAUACGAUGAAUAUUUUUAUGAUGCACAUGAACUUUUUUUAAUAUACAGUGAACAUUUUCUUAAUAUACGAUAAACAUUUUCGCAACACAUGGUGAACUUUUAGUACUCUAGUACAACAAUCCAACCAUCCAAAAUCGCCAGGCCUGCUUGUGCAAAUGUCUGAAAAAGGUUCGAUGUUUCUGCUCCCGUUGUGUCCAUCUAUUGUAGAGUCCUUUCUUUCUAGACCAUAUGAAUAACCUCUUUUCUCUUCUUUUUUAUGUCAAUGUCAGAGCACCUUGGGGUUUCGAGGAGGCGACGCUACAAGAAGUUGUGGAGGCGUCAUAUGAAGUAAUCAAAUUACAAGUCAAGAGGCCUGAUGUGCUGGAAUGUCAGUUUAGCUAGCAUGGUCAUGUCAGUUAGUACUCCCUUUGAUAGUUAAUGAUCUAAACUAUCUUAUACUUCCUCCGUUCCAAAAUAGAUGACUCAACCUUGUACUAACUUUAGUACAAGGUUGAGUCAUCUAUUUUGAAACGGAGGGAGUAGAAGUUAGUUAAUGAUCUAAACUAUCUUAUAGAAGUUUACAAAGGGAGUACUUAGUACUAGCUGUUUCCUGUAAUAUCGUGGCUCACGGCAGUAUGUACGCCGGAGAGUGGGUGGAGGGCGGCACGAUAUGAAUAAAAC